CAGGGUGUCCAUUGUUCUCUCGAAGCAACUGAGAAUUGUGGAUAUUCUUCAUUAUUCCAUCAUCAUCUCAAACCUCUUGGGUAUAGUGUUUGACUGCUACUGUGACCAUAAAUUCCAAUAAAACCUAGGAAAAAAUGAAACCACUACAUUAACUGAAAGGAAGGAAGAUGAUUCCAAGUCAUGUUAUUUCCAAGGAAGCAACAAUAACUUCACUGGACCCCUGCUGAUCUUAAAGUGCAGCAUGAAAAACAGUCUUGGAGACUUCUAGAGAUGUCCGAAGUAUGCCUACAGGGAGCAAUAGGGAUAUCAGGAGAAUCUGAUGGUAGACGUAUAUUAAAAAAGCUAUUUACAUGUUAAA
RNAcentral lists this long non-coding RNA (358 nucleotides) under Pan troglodytes (chimpanzee). Its description in RNAcentral is "lincRNA". Lineage: Eukaryota; Metazoa; Chordata; Mammalia; Primates; Hominidae. The record is from RNAcentral.